Molecule: long non-coding RNA, 632 nt
Organism: Dioscorea cayenensis subsp. rotundata (Guinea yam)
Lineage: Eukaryota; Viridiplantae; Streptophyta; Magnoliopsida; Dioscoreales; Dioscoreaceae
Exons: 3
Source: RefSeq, a predicted model, not a curated record
UGUUUGCAACCUUGGUCAUGUUGACCAGGUUGACCAGAGACAUUCCUACUUCCCUUUGACUGUUUGACUAGUUAUGGGGAUUCCUGACACUGUUGCUCUGCAAACUUGAUUCUCACCCAGCUGGCUCCUUCUCCCCGUGAAGCUUCGGUCUUGUCAUGGUUGGUGGGAGAGGCACUCUUCCUCUUCCUCAUCUUCUUCUCCUCCUUCCUCUAUUUAGCAGCCUUUCUUUGAGUUCGGACUGAAGAGGUGGCAAGCUUCCUUUGAACUUCGGACUGAAGAAGCCAGCCGUGAGGAGGAGCUCGGAGUCGCAUUGCUUGAGUUCGGCAGCGGCGAAGGAGGCUGAAGAUUCACCGUUUCUCUCUUCAUCAAGCUUCAGAUUUUGGUAGCGAGCCUUAGUUCGCGGGACUGGGUGGACCCAACUCUGUAGCUUGGAGCCAGGAGAAGAUCAAGGCUAGGAUCGGGGGGGUGUCUGGGAGUCGUAUUGCCUACUCUAUUAGUAUUUCUGUAUUACCCUUUUCCUGUGAGUGUAAGACUUGUACUCUGACUGUAUCUGUGUUUUGGAAACUGUUGGGGUGUAUUUGAAUUCUGUAGGGCUUCUAAAGCCUAUACUUGUAGUAUUUCAGUUUCUGGUA